This 468-nucleotide ribosomal RNA is filed under the name uncultured bacterium. RNAcentral describes it as "partial 16S ribosomal RNA". It matches the Rfam family "Bacterial small subunit ribosomal RNA", at positions 28 to 507 of the family's 1533-position model. The record is from RNAcentral.
GACGAACGCUGGCGGCGUGCUUAACACAUGCAAGUCGAACGGAAAGGCCCUGCUUUUGUGGGGUGCUCGAGUGGCGAACGGGUGAGUAACACGUGAGUAACCUGCCCUUGACUUUGGGAUAACUUCAGGAAACUGGGGCUAAUACCGGAUAGGAGCUCCUGCUGCAUGGUGGGGGUUGGAAAGUUUCGGCGGUUGGGGAUGGACUCGCGGCUCAUCAGCUUGUUGGUGGGGUAGUGGCUUACCAAGGCUUUGACGGGUAGCCGGCCUGAGAGGGUGACCGGCCACAUUGGGACUGAGAUACGGCCCAGACUCCUACGGGAGGCAGCAGUGGGGAAUAUUGCACAAUGGGCGGAAGCCAGAUGCAGCAACGCCGCGUGCGGGAUGACGGCCUUCGGGUUGUAAACCGCUUUCGCCUGUGACGAAGCGUGAGUGACGGUAAUGGGUAAAGAAGCACCGGCUAACUACGUG